AUAAUAAGGCAUCUUGUUGUAAUUAAAGCUAUGGCGGAUAAGGAUGAGCGUGCGCAAGAUUUAGCUAGUUGGUGAGGUAACGGCUCACCAAGGCGACGAUCUUUAGCUGAUGUGAGAGCAUGAUCAGCCACACGGGCACUGAGACACGGGCCCGACUCCUACGGGAGGCAGCUAGUGAGGAAUAUUGGUCAAUGGACGGAAGUCUGAACCAGCCAUGCCGCGUGAAGGAUGAAGGCGUUCUGCGUUGUAAACUUCUUUUAUUUAGGAAGAAACCACCGAUUUCUAUUGGUGUUGACGGUAUUAAAUGAAUAAGCACCGGCUAACUCCGUG
Molecule: ribosomal RNA, 330 nt
Filed under: uncultured bacterium
Lineage: Bacteria
Description: bacterial SSU rRNA
Rfam family: Bacterial small subunit ribosomal RNA
Source: RNAcentral